Molecule: ribosomal RNA, 118 nt
Filed under: Chloroflexota bacterium
Lineage: Bacteria; Bacillati; Chloroflexota
Source: RNAcentral
CUUGGUGGUUAGAGCGCAGCGGUCCCACCCGUUCUCAUCCCGAACACGGAAGUGAAACGCUGCAGCGCCGACGAUACUCCCCGGGCAACUGGGCGUGGAAAAUAGGCCACCGCCAGGG